This is a non-coding RNA of Sus scrofa (pig), 6059 nucleotides long. The record is from RefSeq and is a predicted model, not a curated record. Lineage: Eukaryota; Metazoa; Chordata; Mammalia; Artiodactyla; Suidae.
GAGCAUUCCGGGAGAUGUAGUCCGGGUCGGCCUCCCUUCCUCCCCCUUGUUUCUCCUCCUGUCCUACCUUUUCCUGGCUUUUGCCCUUCCAGAGAGUUACCGCUAUAUGCCCAUGCUCCUGCCUGGCGCAUUAGAAGAAAGCAUUGGCUCCUAAACGCAGGGUUGGGUCUCCCAGCCUCAGAUGUGGCCACGGGAUAAUUAGGAAAGAAAUGUAUAUUUAGUUACAAUUUCGUGCAAGGCAAUAUGCAUAUUUCAUUUUAUUUAAUAGAACAAAGGUUCCAAAUAGAUUUUAUUAAUCCUCAUUUUACAGAUGAGGAAAGAGGCUCAGAGGAAUUAAGUGCCUCAUCCAGGUUUGCAAAGACAAUAAACGAUAGCUAGUAGAUUGUAUCCAAGAAUCUGCUUACAGGUAGUUCCCCUCGUGGCUCAGCUGUAAUGAAUCUGACUAGCAUCCAUGAGGACGUGGGUUCCGACCCUGUCCUUGCUCAACGGAUUAAAGGUACGACGUUGCUGUGAGCUGUGGUGUAGAUGUGGCUGGGAUCUGGCGUUGCUGUGGCUGUGGCCAGCAGCUACAGCUCAGAUUUGACCCGUAGUGUAAGAACUUCUCUGCUUCCGAAGUCAUUGCCUUGCUCACAAAAUCAGGAAAAAUUGACCAUUAAGGAUGGAAUUGUCCUGUUCUGCUCUGCAUCCCCUGUGCCUAGCAGUGUCUGAAUAAUAAUGACCCAAAAUAACAAUAAUCAACAUACAGAACACUUACUUUUGCCAGGGUCUCUUUGAAUCACUUUUGAUAUGUUAACUCACUUAAUGGUCACAUUAAGUUAAUUUUAGAAGUCCUAUAAAAAUCCUUAUCUUUACCUAAGAUGAAACUGAGUUACAAAGAAGCUGAAUAGUUUGCCCAAAGUCAUACAGCUAGUACUCAAGAGAAAUGGCAUAUGGACUCCAAAAGGCCCUAAACAUUAUGCGAAUUGAGUGAAUGGGAAAAAAAGACCAGAAGACCUGAAGACAAGAAGAGAAAAGGGUUAGGAAUAAAGGAAAUCUGGAAUUGAAGCUACUGAGAUUUGACUCCCAGAACAGGACAGAUUAACUUCUUUGGGUCACAAACCUCUUUCUAACCACAGUGGACUACAGCAGCCAACAGUCAAAGAGAAUGUGUGGUUUGUGGAUCAUCUCCAAGUUUUUAGCAUCUCCUUUGGGGUGAUUCUAGGGUUAUUGAUUUUUUUUAUGUAAAUGUUUUAUAUAAUAUUUUGCUGCUUAUGAGUAAUAUACUCACAUGUGGUUGCUUGCUUUCAAGUAAUAGAUCAAUCUCCUAUAAUGAUAAUUUUGUUGGUUUUCUUUUACAUUGAUAGAAUCCAUAGUCUCAUAGUUCCAGGGACUUCAUAAUCCAGCCCCUUGAAAAUCUUUUUUCCCUAUGACUCUCUUUCAGCCAGAUAAGCCCAUUUGUUGUUAAACAUGACAUGUCUUUUAUGGCUUUUUCUCCUUUGCUCAUUAAUUACUCUGUUCUCCAGUGAGAAUAUCCUUUCCUCAUUCUCCUAUUCUCACCACCCUUCAAAGAUUACCUUAUCAAGCCACGUUUGCUGGGGUGCAUUCUGUUCUUAGUACUAUAUAUUUAAAAGGGAGCCCAAAGACACCAACUUGAACUCAUGUUGAACAAGGAACAUGGGAUAUUUAGCCAGAGGAGGAGACUUAGGAGAAACAAACAAACAAACAAAAACUUUAAAUAAUUUGAAGUUUGUGAAACAGAAGAGGAAUUCUGUGUCACAGUUUAAAAGGGGAAAAGCAGAACCAGUGACAAUAAUAGUAUUUAUUAAUCCUAAAAUGCUAUCAUCUUUAAUUCUUAUACUAACUCUAUAAGGAGCCAGUAUUAUUAUACUUGUUUUACAAUGUAGAAAUUGAGGAUUGAAAUGAUCUUUUUCUCAAGGUAUUAGAGGUGAUAAAUAACUGGAAGAGCCCAGAUUCUAACAUGGGUCUAUCUGAUUCUAGAACCUGGAUCUCUUUAUCACCACAUUAUACUGAGCAAUGCUUCACAAUCAUUUUCAUAGCAGAGCAUAAAUGCUUCUGUGGCUACUUCAGGCCCUGCAGGACAGCUAGGGAAUAGAUAAGUCAGCACAUCUGUAAUACCCUGGGGCACCUGAGGAUGAUGGACACAGGGACUGGGAAGCUCUGGAGAGCACUAUCAGAUUCAGUAAGGAGGCAAAUUAGAGCAUAAGGAAGAACAUUAUCUUUAAGGACUUGAAAUAGGAUGUCUCAUGAAAGUAAAUUCUGUUAUUACUGGAGAGGAUUUUUUUGUAAACAGCCAUUUAUUAAUGAUGUGGUACAAGGAAUUCAUCUAGUUGGAUUAAAGGAUCUCUGUUAUUUCCCUGGUGAAAUGAUUCUGAGUUACAUUUCUUUUAUGAUGCCCUUUCCUCCAAGCCAGCUCCCAAAGAUUCUACCUCCUAUUAACUAUACUAGGACUUGUCAGCACUGAUAUUUGUAUUUAUCAGCCACUACCUUGUGACAUUUCUAGUAUGUCUAGGUAACUACUGCCUAUUGUUUAUCUUCUCACUUAGGAGCCUAAACCUCUAGUAGCAAUUAUAAGCUCCUUAAGGUCAGCAUCCAUAUAUUAAAUGUCUUCUUAUCUCCUACAGAAAGUAAAAUAUUCCUAUUGAAUAGGGAGAGGGAAAAUGCCAAGACUGAACUGAGACUGGAGAUGAUUAUUUAUCUACAUUAUUCUCUCUCAUUUCCUAUUUCUGAAUAUAGUACACUUGACUGUCUACCUAUUUUUGAGCAUUAAAAUAAAAUCAACUCUGUACCAACACACUACAAAAUGUCCUUCAAAAUUCUAUAGAAAAAGAAUAAAUAUGGACUUACCAGCUCCUGGAAAGAAAAGCUCUGCAAAGAAAUACCACUUGCUGGAAUAACUCAACUUCUCUCCUCUUGCUCCCAAGAAAAAAGAAUUUGGUUAUCUGGCAAUGGUUGUUGCAAAAAUUAACUAAAAAGGAUGCUUUGCUAAAAGGAGAACCAAAUGGCAACGUGGAAUGUUCUUUGAGACAAGAGCCAGAAGUCUUACAUGAGUCGAUGCAUUUUAGCUCUGAGUCCAUGGACUACCUACGGCACACAUCCCUCAUGAAAAACACUUCAAAUGAUCAAACAAUUUAGCUACUCUGGAGAGACUGUUGACAUCUUACCCUGACAGGCUCAUCGAAAUCAAACUCCCCUCCUAACCAGAAUUGAUAGUAGCAAGGAAUUAUGUGGCUAACACAGAGGCAUCAGCUGUAUUCAGGACACAUAUGUGUUCUGAAAUGUACUCUGCCCUGAACCAUCAUGAAAGGAAAAAUGAAACAGUUUCAAGAGAUAGCUAACAACAAACUGGGGAAUAAGUGAGAAGGUAAGAAAGGAUACACAUUUCUCAUAAAGGAAAAUGUAAUUAUCCCAAUGGUGUUCCUGAGAUGGGGCAAGCAAGCCAGACAGAAAUGACAGAAGGUACAAAUGGAAACUGCUAACAAGACCUCUCAUAUCCAAUCACAGCUCUGCCUCUGGACCCAGGAAAAUAACAGUCUGAUUGUCAAAGUAUCUAAGAAACUCUUCCAUAUUUUUCCCAAACAUCUUAAAAGAACUUCAGAGCAUUAGUAUUUCAUCAAGAAUAUUUUUGAUCAGUCUAUAUCCUCAUGCUAAAUUUCUGAAUGAUCUCUUCAUUUAUGUUUUAUCUUUCCCUUUUUUCUUCAGGACAAAAAAUAAAUUCUGGUGAACUCUACAAAAUAUAUAUUAGGCUAUAUACUCACUCUUCCUUUCUAAAAAAAUGCAUUCAUUUACCUGUUAAUAGUUUCUAUUAUUUCCACAUGUACUUCUUUUCUUUUCCUUUCCAAUGUCUGAUAGUCAAAUCCAGAAUGAACCCAUUUAUUUCCCUUUCUGAUGCGUCAACCUUUCUGCACUAUCCAGUGCUGGCCAGAAGAUGUCACUCUUAUAACUCAAAUUGAUUCUUUGUCCCUCUCCUUUAUAGCCUGAAAAAAGUUAACAUACCAGGGAAAAGACCCUUGAAAUCUCCUAAAAACCCAAACAAAAGGCAUAUAAUUCUAUACACUAGGAUAUCUUUUAUGGUACUUAAAUACAUCUUGUCUAUUUGAGAUUUGCAAAUAUGUAACCAGUAGGCAAUUUCAUUUCACAGAAUAUUUCUGAAAUAACUGAAACCAAACCAGUGUUGAGACUAACAAAUCACAGAACUGUGGAGUUGGAAGGGCCUUAGAACUUUCUACCCUCUCUAUAUGAAUUUCUUUUACCCAAGAAUGGAAUCUGAUUUCUUAGUCCAAACUCAUUCCCCUACUCAUACAUUCAUUUACUCAUCACUAUUUUUAUAGAACAUGUUCUGUAUGCUUGGCAAUGGGGUAAUUGCUAAAGAUCCAAGUAUUAGAAAGAUGAGGUAGACACAAUCCUUUUCCUCUGUUAUGGGUUGAAUUUUGCCCCUUCCCCUCCCCCCAAAAAAGAUAGAAUGAAGUCCCCCAUUACCUCAGGAUGUGAACUUAUUUGGAAAUAGAGUCAUUACAGAUAUAUAUAACUAGUUAAGAAGAUGAGGUCAUAUUGGAAGAGGGUGGGUGCUAAAUGCAAUAUAGUUGGUUCCUUAUAAGAAAAGGAGAGGGGCAUGCAGGGAAAAGAUGAUCAAAUGACAGCAGAAGAAGAGACUGGAAUGAUGCAUCUCCAAGCCAAGGAAUGGAAAGGAUUUCUGGCAAACAUGAGAAGCUAGAAGUAGCAAGGAAAGAUUCUCCCCUACACAGGUUUCCGAGAACCCAGCUGACACCUUACUUUUAAAUUUCUAGCCUCCAGAACUAUGAGGUAAUACAUUUCUGUUGCUUCAAGUGACCUAGUUUGUGGUACUUUGUUAUGACAGCCCUAGGAAAUUAAUGCACCCGUAAAAACAUUAUAUAAUACAAACAAAUAAGUCUAAUACAGUGUAAUAAAUGCUGUUAUAAUUGAAGCAUGGGAUGUAAUGAGGAAAUAUGAGAGACAGGCCCAUCAGAGUAUUUCUGGAGGAAGUGAUUCCCAUUCCAAAAACCAAUAAACAAAAAAGACAUCAAAGGCAUGCCCAAGUAAACUAUUGUGAGUAGUAUAGCCAUUUUGAAAAUGGAGAGAAGUAUACAAAUCUCUCAUCUAUCUACAUCCCUCCUUUGCUCAGCUUCAAAACUUUGGUCAACAAUCAAAAUGUAACAUUAGAUAUGAAUCAACUCAGAUGUUCUGAGACUGUGUACCAGAUUUUAUUUAUAAUCAUUUUUAUUCUAUAUUAUGUAACUAAGAGAAAAAUAAAUGUCUCAUACCUUUAGUGACUGGAGUGACUAGUUUGAAUUAGAACCCUUGCAAUUCCAUGGAACCUUCAUCUUCCCUCCCUUUUCCUUCUAAAUCCUACUGUCUGUCCUGCUCCAUCAGUGCUCCGGGCUCUAUUCUCUCUUCUUUUUCUCUGCAUCUCAUUUGACUGAAUUUCUACUAAUUGACCUCCUUAUUACACAUUCAUUAUCUAGAAUUCUCAAGUGCCCACUAGAAUUUUUAUUUACUACCACCCCAUUUUUGCUCCAAAAUAUCACCAUUUUCCCUCUAAACAUCAGUCAAAUUUCUCCAUAGAAACAGAACCAAUAAGAUAUAUGAUUUUAUAAAUGUAUAUGUGUGCAUGUGUGUAUGUAUGUGUAUAUACUCUCAUAUAUAUAUAUAUGAAAUUAAUAUAUCAUAAGGAAUUGACUCACAUGAUUAUGGAAGAGGCUGAGAAGUCCUCUAAUGCUAUCUGCAAGCUGGAGGCUCAGGAAAGGUGAUGGUGCAAUUCAGUCUGAGUCCAAAUGCCUAGGAAGCAAGGGGGCCAAUGAAAUUAAACCCCAGUUAGGGGUGGAAAGAGACUAUGAAAUAAGAUGUUCCAGCUCAAGCAGUGAGGCAGUGAAAGAAAAACAGUGAAAUCUUCCUUCCUCCUCCUAUUCAGGCCUUCAGAGAACUGGAGGUUGCCCAUGUACAUUGGGGGGAUCAGUUUACUUUGCUGAGUUUACCAAUUCAAAUAUUACUCAUCAAGAAGCACUCUCAGAGACACACCCAAAACAAUUUUUUUUUUUUUUUUU